GAUGAACGCUAGCGGCAGGCCUAAUACAUGCAAGUCGAACGGGAUCCAGAUCAAAGCUUGCUUUGGUCUGGUGAGAGUGGCGCACGGGUGCGUAACGCGUGAGCAACCUACCCUUGUCAGGGGGAUAGCCCGGCGAAAGUCGGAUUAAUACCGCAUGACAUCAUUGAGAGGCAUCUUUCGAUGAUCAAAGAUUUAUCGGACAAGGAUGGGCUCGCGUGACAUUAGCUAGUUGGUAAGGUAACGGCUUACCAAGGCUGCGAUGUCUAGGGGCUCUGAGAGGAGAAUCCCCCACACUGGUACUGAGACACGGACCAGACUCCUACGGGAGGCAGCAGUAAGGAAGAUUGGUCAAUGGACGGAAGUCUGAACCAGCCAUGCCGCGUGCAGGAAGACGGCCCUAUGGGUUGUAAACUGCUUUUAUACGGGAACAAACGUCGGUACGUGUACCGGUCUGAGUGUACCGUAAGAAUAAGGAUCGGCUAACUCCGUG
RNAcentral lists this ribosomal RNA (490 nucleotides) under uncultured bacterium. RNAcentral describes it as "partial 16S ribosomal RNA". It matches the Rfam family "Bacterial small subunit ribosomal RNA", at positions 28 to 507 of the family's 1533-position model. The record is from RNAcentral.